Molecule: non-coding RNA, 45 nt
Filed under: Schistosoma bovis
Lineage: Eukaryota; Metazoa; Platyhelminthes; Trematoda; Strigeidida; Schistosomatidae
Also listed under: 1 other name
Source: RNAcentral
AUCCAUCUGACGAGUCUCAAAUAGAACGAAACGCACUUCCUGGAU